Molecule: ribosomal RNA, 1038 nt
Filed under: uncultured Glomus
Lineage: Eukaryota; Fungi; Glomeromycota; Glomeromycetes; Glomerales; Glomeraceae
Description: eukaryotic LSU rRNA
Rfam family: Eukaryotic small subunit ribosomal RNA (bases 1-241)
Source: RNAcentral
UCGCUCUUCAACGAGGAAUCCCUAGUAAGCACAAGUCAUCAGCUUGUGCUGAUUACGUCCCUGCCCUUUGUACACACCGCCCGUCGCUACUACCGAUUGAAUGGCUUAGUGAGGCCUUCGGAUUGUUGGUAAAAAACUGUAACAGGUUUUCUGCUGACGAGAAGUUGGUCAAACUUGGUCAUUUAGAGGAAGUAAAAGUCGUAACAAGGUUUCCGUAGGUGAACCUGCGGAAGGAUCAUUACAAAUCGUUGGCGAAUCUCGCCACUUUUUUUUCGUAUUUAAAACAUCCGCUCAUAAAAAAAAAUUUUAAUAAUAAAAUUAAAAAAAGAUCACUUUCAACAACGGAUCUCUUGGCUCUCGCAUCGAUGAAGAACGUAGCGAAGUGCGAUAAGUAAUGUGAAUUGCAGAAUUCCGUGAAUCAUCGAAUUUUUGAACGCAAAUUGCACUCUCCUUGGAGAGUAUGCCUGUUUGAGGGUCAGCCUAAAAAAAAUCGACAUCGUUGCUGUUUCGUGGUAGCGUUCGUCGGAAAUUGGGUCAUCUUAAACCUUUUGGUUUAAGCGACUUAAAAUUUUCUUUUUGAUUCCAUGAACGUUUCUAAGAUUUAUUUCUUUACACGUUUAAGGUAUCGAUUUUAUUAGACGUGAUCGCCAUAUCUAAUCGCGUCCAUAAUCUUUCAUUAACUGACCUCAGACAGGUAAGAGUACCCGCUGAACUUAAGCAUAUCAAUAAGCGGAGGAAAAGAAAAUAACAAUGAUUCCCUUAAGUAACGGCGAGUGAAGGGGAAAAGCUCAAAUUUUAAAUCGGCCUAGGUUUACCUAGUCGAGUUGUAAUUUGAAGAAGCGUUUACCGCAUCCAGGUCGGCCCAAAUCCUUUGGGAUAAGGUAUCAUUGGAGGUGAGAAUCCCGUCCGGGUGACCUCAGGAUGUUUUACGUUUACCGCUUCUCUUAGAAGUCGAGUUGUUUGGGAAUGCAGCUCAAAUGGUAAGUAAAUUUCCUCCUUAAGCUAAUACCCGCCAGAGACCGAUAUGCGUACCAGUAC